This 1531-nucleotide unclassified non-coding RNA is filed under the name Hevea brasiliensis (rubber tree). Lineage: Eukaryota; Viridiplantae; Streptophyta; Magnoliopsida; Malpighiales; Euphorbiaceae. The record is from RNAcentral.
GCAAGCUGGUGCGUACAUUCGAGCUACCCAAACAUCGCAAUUUCAUAACCAUCAUAGUUAAGUUGUCAUAUCAAAACUCACAACCAAGGAGGAGCCCCGCAUUUGCUUAUUGAAGCAAUACCUCGAAUACCUUGAAAAAACCAGUAAAACCUUUCUUAUUUAUGUUUUACACUUACAAUAUCAAUCCUCAAUCUUGAUUUCAAUCGACAAUCCAAGCGACUUCGUGAAAAGUCGAGAAGUUAUGCCGCAGACAUGACACAGUCUAUCGCUUGCUUACAGAUUCCGGUCAUUGUCGCUUCUGGCCCAUAAACCUCAAGUGGAACACCUAGCUCGUCGCCCAAAGCCCGCAUUUUCGCAAGACCGGUCUGGUAGUUGGGACCACCUCUCCGAACAUAUAUGUGCAUUCUCGAGGCCUUCAACUUGGAUUCCUUCUCCCGCAGGGCCCGUAUAAUGCCAUUGAAAGUAGUAGCAACGUCGGUGAAGUUGGCUAUUCCUCCUCCAAUGAGAAGAGCCCUCUUCCGACCAUCGGGGUCUGCAGUAGCACAAUCAAGAACAACUCUCGCAUACUGCAAGACCUCAUCCUCCUUUGGAGCACCACUGUACUCAGCAUAGUUCCCAAGCUCUGAUGCAUAACCCAGAUCUCCGACUGUGUCAGCAUAUAUAACACUGGCGCCACCACCAGCCACCAUCGUCCAAAUUCGUCCUUUGGGAUUUAAAACAGUGAACUUCAGAGAGGCACUUGUCUUCUCAUCCAGGCCAUGAAUGAAGCUUUCUGUGGCACUAAGGACUCUGCCGAAAGGGAGCGGAAAUUCUAUGUUUCCCCACUUCUUAAAGUUCUUGAAUGCAGCUGUGUCAUCUAAUUCUCCUCGCAUAUCCAAUGGGUAGGGCUCCCCAUCCACCAGCGUAAAUGGGUUCAUCUCGAGGAACGUAAAAUCUAAGUCUUCGAACACAUUAUAGACUCCUUUUAUGAAAUCCCCAAUUUUACCUCUAACCUCCAGUGGAAGUGUCGCAAUCAACGGGGCACACACCUGCGACGUCAUCGGCUUCUCCGUCGGAAGAAACACCGUCUUAACCUUGUCCCAAUUCUCCUCAAUCUCAAUCCCCCCACACUCGGAAAAACUGAUAGUACUCCCCAGCCUAUCCGACACAAUCGACAAAUAAUACUCCUGCUCGUGCGGCACAAACGGCUCAACAAUGAACGUCGUGAUCGGCGCCUUGCACCCGCCUAUCUCAACCUCGACGCCGAGGCGUUCCUUGACGAACUGAGCCACCUGCGCCAGAUCCAGAUUGAGCGCCACCAGCCCGCUCUUCCCCCGCUUGCCGAACAGCAUGUCGGGCUUGACGACGAGCUUCAUCGACGACAGCCAUGGCUCGUUGUUGACUAGAUCGGUGAAAUCGGUUGAUUCGGUGACCUGGGCGGAGCGGAUCUGGAGGUCGAUGCCGGCGAGACGUUUGAGGUGCUCUUUGAGGAGACGCUUCGAGUCGUACUCUCGGAUCUUCUUCCUCGCCAUUGGAGAUGGGUGGGUGGAGA